This is a non-coding RNA of Phasianus colchicus (ring-necked pheasant), 1466 nucleotides long. Lineage: Eukaryota; Metazoa; Chordata; Aves; Galliformes; Phasianidae. The record is from RefSeq and is a predicted model, not a curated record.
AAAUCAAAUUGAUUGGAUGUGAUAGAAGGAUCCUACUGUUCACAUGUUAUAUGUCCAUUGAAAUAUAGUGCAAUGCAUCGCUGAGGUUCCAAGAACAAAUGAUCCAACACAGAAAUACAGAAGAAACACAGGGACAAAAUAAAAAAAGUGGAUGGAAUGUAUUCCAAGAUCCCAGACCAGUAUCUCCUACAACACCAUCAUAUGAGUGCCAACAGAGCAGCAUUCUGACCAUUCUGGAAUUUUUAGGAUUCUAGUGGGAAGGAUACUUUAGAGUGGGUCAAGCCAGGCAGAUGAGAUGCAGGAGUCAUUAUCUUAAUGGGAUAAAUGCUUGAAAGAAAAUAUGGGAUAAUGGCAAGUGGGAUAAUGGUGGCAAUCCUGAACAGCCAAGCUCCAAGGAAAGAGCUAGCAGUUCUACUGUGCAUGCACUUCCAUUUGUCUGAGAGGUUUAAACAGAAAGAAGAAGAAAAGAAAGAAAAAACGCAACAAUUUGUUUUUUGCUUUCCUUUUUCACUUGUGCAAGGAAACUCAAUGCCUCCAGAGUGACCUCACUAUUUCAUUAUGUUCUGAGGACACCACUAGGACUACAACGUAUGAUUGUGUUCAGUAGCUUCUAACUUUCUCCGGGCUAUAGGCUGUUAAAAGAGUACAGCACAUUACUAACUGACAGCUAAGCUCACCUGAACAUCUGGAUUUCCUUACACAAGAUCCACUGCGAAAUAAACCUAACCAAGCAAAGGUAUAUACUGCCCUACAGACUGCUUUCAAGCAGUAGCUUAACUAAGCAAGACAGUAAGCUCAAAUUAACUGCCUCAGGGCUCACACAUCUCCUGGAUGCAUUUAAAGCCUAGUGAUGUUAGUCAAGAAACUAACGGAGCUAAAGAGGAGUAGUGGCCUAUGAAGAAGGUCGAUUAUUCAGUCAAGAUGAGAAACACAACUGCUGUGUCUGAAGUGUUUGGUGGCAUCGAAAUGAGAACGACUGCUCUGGGACACACAGAUAGCACAGGUCUUUAACACAGAACGCUGUAUCUCUGUGAGUAAUACCUCAGGGAGGCAAUAUAUGAUCUUAACUAUACUCUGCCUCAGAUCAUGCGAGCUGUUUGGCACCUUAGAGAAUACUUCUCAGAUCCGACAGGUGGGGCCAGGGCGAGUUCUGCCCUCCCGGCACAGCCGGCACCGGGGAGGUGCAGGUGCGCUGCGGGCACAGGGAGCGCGCAGGGGCUGACUGCGGGCGGCUCUCCUGGGACUCCUCCACACUCCGUCUUUCCGAGGAAGCGAGCCACAGACAACUUGCUGACUGAAAAAGCCCUCUUAGAACUGCCGCGCUGCUCCGGGACGGCGCGGGAGGCGGAGCGGGGGCUCGGCAGGGCCGUUACCUGAGGCCGGGCUGGUUCCUCCCGGCGCGGAUGCGGCGCACCCUCAGCGGCAGGCCCAGCAGGCAGCUCAGCGCCGUGGACACUCGCAGGAUC